GACGAACCGUGCGAACGUUGUUCGGAAUCACUGGGCUUAAAGGGCGCGUAGGCGGCUUCGCAAGUCCGGGGUGAAAGCCCCCAGCUCAACUGGGGAAGUGCACAGGAGACUGCUUGGCUUGAGUUCGGGAGAGGGAAGCGGAAUUCCGGGUGUAGCGGUGAAAUGCGUAGAUAUCAGGAGGAACACCGAUGGCGAAGGCAGCACUCUGGGACGGUACUGACGCUGAGACGCGAAAGCGUGGGGAGCAAACAGG
RNAcentral lists this ribosomal RNA (253 nucleotides) under uncultured bacterium. RNAcentral's name for it is "partial 16S ribosomal RNA". It matches the Rfam family "Bacterial small subunit ribosomal RNA", at positions 524 to 776 of the family's 1533-position model. The record is from RNAcentral.